AGCGAACGCUGGCGGCAGGCUUAACACAUGCAAGUCGAGCGGGCAUCUUCGGAUGUCAGCGGCAGACGGGUGAGUAACACGUGGGAACGUACCCUUCGGUUCGGAACAACUCUGGGAAACUGGAGCUAAUACCGGAUACGCCCUUAUGGGGAAAGGUUUACUGCCGAAGGAUCGGCCCGCGUCUGAUUAGCUAGUUGGUGGGGUAACGGCCUACCAAGGCGACGAUCAGUAGCUGGUCUGAGAGGAUGAUCAGCCACACUGGGACUGAGACACGGCCCAGACUCCUACGGGAGGGAGCAGUGGGGAAUAUUGGACAAGGGGGGAAAGCCUGAACCACCAAGGCCGCGUGAGGGAUGAAGGCAUAAGGGUUGAAAAGCUUUUUUGCCCGGGAGGAUAAGGAGGUUACCGAAAGAAUAAGCCCCGGCUAACUUCGUC
Molecule: ribosomal RNA, 435 nt
Filed under: uncultured bacterium
Lineage: Bacteria
Description: partial 16S ribosomal RNA
Rfam family: Bacterial small subunit ribosomal RNA
Source: RNAcentral